Molecule: ribosomal RNA, 465 nt
Filed under: uncultured bacterium
Lineage: Bacteria
Description: partial 16S ribosomal RNA
Rfam family: Bacterial small subunit ribosomal RNA
Source: RNAcentral
CCUACGGGAGGCAGCAGUAGGGAAUCUUCGUCAAUGGGCGCAAGCCUGAACGAGCGAUGCCGCGUGAGUGAAGAAGGCCUUCGGGUCGUAAAGCUCUGUUGCGGGGGAAAAAAGGCAGCAUCAGGAAAUGGGUGCUGACUGAUGGUGCCCCGCCAGAAAGUCACGGCUAACUACGUGCCAGCAGCCGCGGUAAUCCGUAGGUGGCGAGCGUUAUCCGGAAUGGUUGGGCGUAAGGGGUGCGCAGGCGGUCCUGCAAGUCUGGAGUGAAAAGCAUGGGCUCAACUCAUGCAUGGCUUUGGAAACUGGAGGACUGGAGAGAAGGAGAGGGCGGUGGAACUCCAUGUGUAGCGGUAAAAUGCGUAGAUAUAUGGAAGAACACCAGUGGCGAAGGCGGCCGCCUGGCCUGUUGCUGACGCUGAGGCACGAAAGCGUGGGGAGCAAAUAGGAUUAGAUACCCGGGUAGUC